This 469-nucleotide ribosomal RNA is filed under the name uncultured bacterium. Its description in RNAcentral is "bacterial SSU rRNA". It matches the Rfam family "Bacterial small subunit ribosomal RNA", at positions 28 to 507 of the family's 1533-position model. The record is from RNAcentral.
GAUGAACGCUGGCGGCGCGCCUAACACAUGCAAGUCGAACGGUUAAAGCACCUUCGGGUGUGUAUAAAGUGGCGAACGGCUGAGUAACACGUGGGCAACCUGCCCCUCGCACCGGGACAGCCUCGGGAAACCGUGGUUAAUACCGGAUACUCCGCCACCCCCGCAUGGGGGAGGCGGGAAAGCCCAGACGGCGAGGGAUGGGCCCGCGGCCUGUUAGCUUGUUGGCGGGGUAACGGCCCACCAAGGCAAUGAUGGGUAGCCGGGUUGAGAGACCGACCGGCCAGAUUGGGACUGAGACACGGCCCAGACUCCUACGGGAGGCAGCAGUGGGGAAUCUUGCACAAUGGGCGAAAGCCUGAUGCAGCGACGCCGCGUGCGGGACGAAGGCCUUCGGGUCGUAAACCGCUUUCAGCAGGGAUGAGGCCGCAAGGUGACGGUACCUGCAGAAGAAGCCCCGGCUAACUACGUG